AUGCAGGACUCGGCUGCAGAACUCAGAGCUGCCUUUGCACUCCUGCUGGACAGCUGCAGAGAGAUCAAACCAAACAGGAUCCUCCAAAACAGGGCAGCUCCGAGUUAUAUAAGUCCUGAUGAAGACAUUUCCCCCAAGUCCACCAUUUUUCUUCCUUCAGUUGCUGAAAUAAAAAUCCAUAAGGCUGGAACAUACCUUUGUCUUCUUGAGGAUUUUUUCCCUGACAUUAUCAAGAUAGAUUGGCAAGAAAAGGAUGGCAAAACAAUUCUGAAAUCCCAGCAGGGAGACACUAUGAAAAAGACUAAGGACACAUACAUGAAAUUCAGCUGGCUGACUGUGACUGAAGCAUCAAUGGAUAAAGAACACAAAUGUAUCAUCAACCACGAGAGUGGUAAAACAAAACUUGAUCAAGAGAUUCUUUUUCCUUCAAUAAACAAAGGUAUUUUGAUGGCAGUGAUGGAAUCCGAAGUGGCCUCCCAGGGGCCUUCAGAGACAAAGCAAAACACAGAGGUGGUAACUGUGAGCCCUUUGAGUUCACAAUCUUUCUCACCUGUUCCAAGGGCUGUGGAGCUCACUGCUGUUAACUCCACAAAAGCUUCUCUGAAUGAUGAAAAUGACACCCUGCAGCUGCAACUCAAGAACGCCUCUGCCUACUACACCUACCUCCUCCUCCUUCUGAAGAGCCUGGUCUACUCCAUCAUUGCCAUCUGUCUGCUUGGGAGACCAGUAUUCUAUGGCAAUGGGAAGAGUUCCUAA
Odobenus rosmarus divergens (Pacific walrus) is the source of this 756-nucleotide non-coding RNA. The record is from the annotation of a RefSeq genome assembly. NCBI's taxonomy places the organism in Eukaryota, Metazoa, Chordata, Mammalia, Carnivora, Odobenidae.